This is a long non-coding RNA of Calypte anna (Anna's hummingbird), 640 nucleotides long. RefSeq lists it as uncharacterized. The transcript is spliced from 3 exons. Lineage: Eukaryota; Metazoa; Chordata; Aves; Apodiformes; Trochilidae. The record is from RefSeq and is a predicted model, not a curated record.
CCGGGCAGCGUGCAAGGGUUGUGGUGGCACGGAGCAAUGCAUUGCCUUUUGGGACUAAAAAGACCCACGGCUCCCUGCUGGAAGUGCAAGAGGAAUUUAGCGUGGAACCAAUCCAAUAUGAGGAAGUCGAUAUCCGACUGGAGGAGGAACUCAUUUCCUGAAACUGUUGUGAUCUGGGGAGGACAUGGGCACAAACAGAUACCAGGCACUAAGCAAGUUACCCACCAGAGGACAUCUUAAUUUGGAGAUGCUCUUGGAUCCCAGAUGGUGAUGUGAACUACAAGGGGUGUUGCAGUAACAAAGCAGACAUGUUAUCUACGUGGGGGGUGGGAUUAUCCAGGAUAACCUGAUGGAUUUCUCCAAUUUAUAACCACUACCACAUCAGGUAUUUCCACAAGUAAAUCAACAAAAUCACAUAGACAUCAGUACAUUUUAAAUGCCUACUAUUAUUCUAUUAUUCUGAACCUCCUAAACACACAACUGCCUUUGAGGUUUAUUCACCUGGAGUUUUCCCUGACCUCUGCUUGGCUGUAAUUGAAGAACUCAAUUUAUAUUGCUAAAAAAUACUUACAUUAUUGUCUGCCUACCUUGGUUCUACUAAUAAUUUGGCUUUAAAAAUCCUAUAAAGUUAGAGAUGAAG